Molecule: non-coding RNA, 28 nt
Filed under: Cricetulus griseus (Chinese hamster)
Lineage: Eukaryota; Metazoa; Chordata; Mammalia; Rodentia; Cricetidae
Source: RNAcentral
AGCUCAGCUUUGUUCCUGUAUACUCGGA